AACAGUUUCAGGAUUGUUGAGCUCCAUUGGCGGGAUUUCGCCGUCUUCGUUUCUCUUUCUUCGCGGACGAACACGCGCCAGGGGCUGAGCGCUGUGCGAUGUACCGACUUCAGGUCGAGUGCGCGCCGGCAUGUCUCUCGUGUUAGGGGCUUGUAGCUCAGUUGGUUAGAGCGCGCGCUUGAUAAGCGUGAGGUCGGAAGUUCAAGUCUUCCCAGGCCCACCAUUUUGAUCGAGUGCGGAGCAUUCGUCUUCUGGUACGGGGCCAUAGCUCAGCUGGGAGAGCGCGUGCUUUGCAAGCAUGAGGUCGUCGGUUCGAUCCCGUCUGGCUCCACCAGAUGGAAUUGAAGCUCGAUAGCGCCUCGUUCAUUUCGUCCGCGAAACAUCACUUCGCACUCAUUGGUCCGGAUGGACGGUGACGUGCGUGUUUUCUGACAUCGUAAAGAGGAGAUCGAUCCGAGUUUGGAUCAAGCGAAGCAAUUCGCCUGAGCCAUUCAUUAUCUCCGGGAUCAUUUCGGCGCUCGCUUCAAUCGUGAGAUUGGAUGCGGGUUGU
This 550-nucleotide transfer RNA is filed under the name Bradyrhizobium sp. TUTCSA4C. Its description in RNAcentral is "partial 16S-23S ribosomal RNA intergenic spacer". The stretch from base 147 to 220 matches the Rfam family "tRNA". The record is from RNAcentral. Lineage: Bacteria; Pseudomonadati; Pseudomonadota; Alphaproteobacteria; Hyphomicrobiales; Nitrobacteraceae.